CACGUAGGCGGAUGUGUCAGUCAGGGGUGAAAUCCCGGAGCUCAACUUCGGAACUGCCCUUGAUACAGCACGUCUUGAGUCCGAUAGAGGUGGGUGGAAUUCCUAGUGUAGAGGUGAAAUUCGUAGAUAUUAGGAAGAACACCGGUGGCGAAGGCGGCCCACUGGAUCGGUACUGACGCUGAGGUGCGAAAGCGUGGGGAGCGAACA
RNAcentral lists this ribosomal RNA (207 nucleotides) under uncultured bacterium. RNAcentral's name for it is "partial 16S ribosomal RNA". It matches the Rfam family "Bacterial small subunit ribosomal RNA", at positions 568 to 774 of the family's 1533-position model. The record is from RNAcentral.